RNAcentral lists this long non-coding RNA (228 nucleotides) under Olea europaea (common olive). Its description in RNAcentral is "long non-coding RNA (OEUR_LNC008541)". Lineage: Eukaryota; Viridiplantae; Streptophyta; Magnoliopsida; Lamiales; Oleaceae. The record is from RNAcentral.
CUCAACUACAUGCCAAUAACGCUUACUACUUGCUAAACUUCGAAUUUAAGCAAAAUUUUGUUAAACCCUAAAAAAUAUAAUUCAAUAUUCUUUUACUUACAUCUCUCAAUCAAAGGAAAAAUUUAAGAAUUGAGAACCUAAGCUUGAAAAUCGGAACCUACCUCUUCCUUCUUUCUUUUUUUCUCUUCUUUCUUCCUUUCUCCCUUCUUCUCUAUGGUUUCGUCUCUA